AUUGAACGCUGGCGGCAGGCCUAACACAUGCAAGUCGAGCGGAUGAAGGGAGCUUGCUCCUGGAUUCAGCGGCGGACGGGUGAGUAAUGCCUAGGAAUCUGCCUGGUAGUGGGGGAUAACGUCCGGAAACGGGCGCUAAUACCGCAUACGUCCUGAGGGAGAAAGUGGGGGAUCUUCGGACCUCACGCUAUCAGAUGAGCCUAGGUCGGAUUAGCUAGUUGGUGGGGUAAAGGCCUACCAAGGCGACGAUCCGUAACUGGUCUGAGAGGAUGAUCAGUCACACUGGAACUGAGACACGGUCCAGACUCCUACGAGAGGCAGCAGUGGGGAAUAUUGGACAAUGGGCGAAAGCCUGAUCCAGCCAGGCCGCGUGUGUGAAGAAGGUCUUCGGAUUGUAAAGCACUUUAAGUUGGGAGGAAGGGCAGUAAGUUAAUACCUUGCUGUUUUGACGUUACCAACAGAAUAAGCACCGGCUAACUUCGUG
This 484-nucleotide ribosomal RNA is filed under the name uncultured bacterium. RNAcentral describes it as "partial 16S ribosomal RNA". It matches the Rfam family "Bacterial small subunit ribosomal RNA", at positions 30 to 507 of the family's 1533-position model. The record is from RNAcentral.